AGCUUUAAUAGUUUAAAAACAAAAUAUUGAUUUUGUAAAUCAAAGAUACUAAUCUUUAAAGC
Molecule: transfer RNA, 62 nt
Filed under: Russelliana sp.
Lineage: Eukaryota; Metazoa; Arthropoda; Insecta; Hemiptera; Psyllidae
Description: tRNA-Thr
Source: RNAcentral